GUGCAAUAGCGCGUAAUGGAGCCAAGCUUUUUGCAGUUGGCACCACUUCAUCACUGGUUGGCACAGCUGUUACAAACGCUCUAAUCAAUGCAAGGAAGGCUAUUGAUAAGAAUGGUGCCGUCGAAGUGGAAAAUGUGCCUAUACUUUCCACCAGUGUUGGCUAUGGUGUCUACAUGGCUGUCUCCAGCAAUCUCAGGUAUCAAGUUCUGGCGGGUGUUAUUGAACAACGAAUUUUGGAACCCAUGUUACACCAGCACAAGCUGAUGCUGAGUGCAAUUUGCUUUGCUGUUAGGACAGGCAACACAUUCCUUGGCUCACUCUUGUGGGUGGACUAUGCCCGUUUGAUAGGAGUUCAGUAGUGAAUGCUAAUUCCGU
Molecule: unclassified non-coding RNA, 375 nt
Filed under: Hevea brasiliensis (rubber tree)
Lineage: Eukaryota; Viridiplantae; Streptophyta; Magnoliopsida; Malpighiales; Euphorbiaceae
Source: RNAcentral